AUGUGCCACGCGUACACCGCGGUUCGUGCGCGCCGUCCAGGGCUGCCCGCUACGUUUUGUUGGCC
Xanthomonas oryzae pv. oryzae is the source of this 65-nucleotide small RNA. It matches the Rfam family "Xanthomonas sRNA sX9". The record is from Rfam. NCBI's taxonomy places the organism in Bacteria, Pseudomonadati, Pseudomonadota, Gammaproteobacteria, Lysobacterales, Lysobacteraceae.